AUACCCUCAUUUAACCUGUACUAAAGCGGCUUAUGCUCUUGUACAAGUACUCCAACUCUGCCUUGUGUCCUCGGAGUGUGACCAAUAAGAACACCUACCUCAUGCCUUUACUUCAUUCUCUGUAAAAAUGGGAGUGUAGCAGGUGAGCGUCCUUCAAACCUCUGAAUGUCGAAGUACUCCUUGACUUGGGCUGGGAAUGGGAAGCUGAUGUCUACUUCCCACUCAUCCCUCCGUUGCUGUGUAGCUCUGGACCUUGGGAAAAGUGGAGGACCAAGAAGAGAAUUGGCCAUGAUCCUGUACCUUGGAGCAGACAGUCCCAAGCCUCCUCCUGCUCACCCUAGGGCAUUUUCCCCACUGCAAAGAACUUCCUUGGAUGAUCAGCUAAGACUUUGGGUUCCAAAAUGUCAGGGUAAUGAGAAACUUGCCUGAGCCUGAGGAAGAGCAGCGGAGUAGGAGUCAGGAUUCCUGCCAGGCUCUAAUGCUGGUACUACCACUGACUUGCAAAAGCUGCCUAACCUCUCUGGGCCUUAGUUCUUCAUCUGUGAAA
Molecule: long non-coding RNA, 547 nt
Filed under: Suricata suricatta (meerkat)
Lineage: Eukaryota; Metazoa; Chordata; Mammalia; Carnivora; Herpestidae
Description: lncRNA (ENSSSUG00005016509.1)
Source: RNAcentral